AUAUUUAAAAGCCCAUUCCUUCUGUGAGCGUGCAAGACAACUUCAUCAACGCAGAUCAACACAACUUCUGCUAAAUAAUAAGUUCGUGCAAAGAACAGAACAACGUAUCGAGUCUAAAAGGAGAGCCGCGCUGGUCAAUGCAGAAGGAGGGGGGUGUCAGUCAGCGUGCGUGAACUUAGAAGAAUUUGUUAAAUCGUCUGCAUAGCUUGGCUUUCUGCUGAGAGAAGUUCCAGACCGUUCUUAAAACAAAACGCACCCAAACGCAUUCCGGAACAACUGGAUAGAUCUUCCAGCUCUGACCCCCAUCCAUCCCAGAGCCAUGGGAGUGAAAGGGUUACACUGCUUUCCCUGGUACAGCCGCUGGAAGGAGAGAAGCAAGGAGGCUCAUCGGAACAGGCUGCGAGAACGGCCCGCGGGAAAAACGAGGCUGUCGUCGACGCAGUCAGUCAGCAGCGAGGGCGACUCACAGAGCCACCGGGCCUACUUCAGCAGGAAGGCCCACGUAUCCUUCCGCCACGAGAUGGACUCCCCUGUGGCGAUCAUCGACUCCACUAACUGAGGACGACCCCAACCCCAACCCCGAGGACGACCCUCAACCACAACCCCAACCCCAACCCCAACCCCGAGGACGACCCUCAACCCCAACCCCAACCCCAACCCCAACCCGAGGACGACCCUCAACCCCAACCCCAACCCCAACCCCAACCCGAGGACGACCCUCAACCCCAACCCCAACCCCAACCCGAGGACGACCCUCAACCCCAACCCCAACCCGAGGACGACCCUCAACCACAACCCCAACCCCAACCCCAACCCCGAGGACGACCCUCAACCCCAACCCCAACCCCAACCCCAACCCCAACCCCAACCCCCAACUCCGGAGAGGACAGCUCAAACCCCAGCACCAGCACUGCGAAUUACCCAAGGCCUUAAAUGGAACAGUGUGUGCGCCCCUUACCAGAGAGGGAGAUCCCUUAGCCCUUAACAGACUGCAGUCCCUUCUCACAUCGGCAGUCUCUGCGUGUCCCUCUUCGGCAUGUUUAGCUCUGCCACGCUUCCUAGCUGUGCUGUAUUUCUGUUAUGUGUUGUUAUUAUUAUUUUUUUUUUCCCUGGAGGGCUAAACACAUAAAAGAGUCUUAAAAAUAA
This is a long non-coding RNA of Acipenser ruthenus (sterlet), 1146 nucleotides long. RefSeq lists it as uncharacterized. The transcript is spliced from 3 exons. NCBI's taxonomy places the organism in Eukaryota, Metazoa, Chordata, Actinopteri, Acipenseriformes, Acipenseridae. The record is from RefSeq and is a predicted model, not a curated record.